GAAUGUAUAAGCUCAGUGGUAGAGUGAGUGCUUAACAUGCAAGAGGUCCUGGGUUCAAUCCCCAGUACCUCCU
Molecule: transfer RNA, 73 nt
Organism: Camelus ferus (Wild Bactrian camel)
Lineage: Eukaryota; Metazoa; Chordata; Mammalia; Artiodactyla; Camelidae
Rfam family: tRNA
About the family: Transfer RNA (tRNA) molecules are approximately 80 nucleotides in length. Their secondary structure includes four short double-helical elements and three loops (D, anti-codon, and T loops). Further hydrogen bonds mediate the characteristic L-shaped molecular structure. tRNAs have two regions of fundamental functional importance: the anti-codon, which is responsible for specific mRNA codon recognition, and the 3' end, to which the tRNAs corresponding amino acid is attached (by aminoacyl-tRNA synthetases). tRNAs cope with the degeneracy of the genetic code in two manners: having more than one tRNA (with a specific anti-codon) for a particular amino acid; and 'wobble' base-pairing, i.e. permitting non-standard base-pairing at the 3rd anti-codon position.
Source: Rfam